RNAcentral lists this ribosomal RNA (199 nucleotides) under uncultured bacterium. RNAcentral's name for it is "partial 16S ribosomal RNA". It matches the Rfam family "Bacterial small subunit ribosomal RNA", at positions 328 to 539 of the family's 1533-position model. The record is from RNAcentral.
ACGCUCGACACCUACGGGAGCCAGUAGUGGGGGAAUAUUGCACAAUGGGGGAAACCCUGAUGCAGCGACGCCGCGUGAGCGAAGAAGUAUUUCGGUAUGUAAAGCUCUAUCAGCAGGGAAGAAACUGACGGUACCUGACUAAGAAGCACCGGCUAAAUACGUGCCAGUAGCCGCGGUAAUCUGAGCGGGCUGGCAAGGC